CCUUUUUUAAUUAAUAAGUAUGCCAAAAUUGAAUACGCUAGAGACUGUUCCAUUAUCUACACAUAGUUUCCUCUGUUGUUAAUUUAACUAAAACCCAAUGCUUAAGCUACAGGGCAAAAUUAAGCACUUAACAGUUAGACCCUUUGACUUGUCAUUUUUCCUCUGAAUCAAAUGCAGAAACCCUCAAUUCAGGCACGGAUAUGUUCGACUCAAUUCAGGACAAAAUGCAAAACAUAUCAAGAAAGUUUUUUUAUGGAUCAAAGAAUUGACCUUUGUUGAUCAGAAUAAGGAAUAGUACGGAGAAGAGAGAUCUCUUGGCGUCUCUGCUCUCUUCUCUCUUGCGCCCUCUCCUUUUUACCCAUUAUUUCUUCGAUUAUUAGGGUUCAAAGCUCAAGCUAUUCUGCACUUUGGUUCACCCACUACUCAUUUCCAGAUUUUGUUUUGGUUUCAGAGUUUUAGAGCAAACCCUCGUAUUCAUAUGGUGAAUAGUAAUAGCAUUUGAAGUAAGAAAUUAAAUUAAAUUCUUUCAAAUUAGC
RNAcentral lists this long non-coding RNA (536 nucleotides) under Solanum tuberosum (potato). RNAcentral's name for it is "long non-coding RNA (STUB_LNC000641)". The record is from RNAcentral. Lineage: Eukaryota; Viridiplantae; Streptophyta; Magnoliopsida; Solanales; Solanaceae.